GUAGGUGGCAAGCGUUGUCCGGAAUUAUUGGGCGUAAAGCGCGCGCAGGCGGUUCCUUAAGUCUGAUGUGAAAGCCCACGGCUCAACCGUGGAGGGUCAUUGGAAACUGGAGAACUUGAGUACAGAAGAGGAAAGCGGAAUUCCACGUGUAGCGGUGAAAUGCGUAGAGAUGUGGAGGAACACCAGUGGCGAAGGCGGCUUUCUGGUCUGUAACUGACGCUGAGGCGCGAAAGCGUGGGGAGCAAACAGGAUUAGAUACCCUGGUAGUCCACGCCGUAAACGAUGAGUGCUAAGUGUUAGGGGGGUUUUCCGCCCCCCUUAGUGCUGCAGCUAACGCAUUAAGCACUCCGCCUGGGAGUACGGCCGCAAGGCUG
RNAcentral lists this ribosomal RNA (374 nucleotides) under uncultured organism. RNAcentral describes it as "partial 16S ribosomal RNA". It matches the Rfam family "Bacterial small subunit ribosomal RNA", at positions 527 to 896 of the family's 1533-position model. The record is from RNAcentral.